RNAcentral lists this ribosomal RNA (475 nucleotides) under uncultured bacterium. RNAcentral's name for it is "bacterial SSU rRNA". It matches the Rfam family "Bacterial small subunit ribosomal RNA", at positions 38 to 507 of the family's 1533-position model. The record is from RNAcentral.
GAGAGACCGCUGGGCGGCGUGGAUUAGGCAUGCAAGUCGGACGGUAGGGCUUUAUCGUAAGAUAGAGUUUGAGAGUGGCGAACGGGUGAGUAACACGUAGGAAUCUACCCUUAAGACGGGGACAACCCAGGGAAACUUGGGCUAAAUACCGGAUGAGAGUGCGAGAGAUUGCAUUUAAAAGGAUGGCGAAAGUUGUCGCUUAGGGAUGAGCCUGCGGUCUAUUAGUUAGUUGGUGAGGUAAGAGCUCACCAAGGCGAUGAUAGAUAGGCGGCCUUAACGGGUGGUCGCCCACACUGGGAUUGAGAUACGGCCCAGACUCCUACGGGAGGCAGCAGUCGAGAAUAGUCUACAAUGGCCGGAAGGCUGAUAGUGCGACGCCGCGUGAACGAGGGAGCCCUUCGGGGUGUAAACCUCUUUCAGCAGGGAAGAAGCGAAAGUGACGGUACCUGCAGAAGAAGCACCGGCUAACUACGUG